UCUNAAAAGUUCGGGGCUUAACCCCGUGAUGGGAUGGAAACUGCCAAUCUAGAGUAUCGGAGAGGAAAGUGGAAUUCCUAGUGUAGCGGUGAAAUGCGUAGAUAUUAGGAAGAACACCAGUGGCGAAGGCGACUUUCUGGACGAAAACUGACGCUGAGGCGCGAAAGCCAGGGGAGCGAACGGGAUUAGAUACCCCGGUAGUCCUGGCCGUAAACGAUGGGUACUAGGUGUAGGAGGUAUCGACCCCUUCUGUGCCGGAGUUAACGCAAUAAGUACCCCGCCUGGGGAGUACGACCGCAAGGUUGAAACUCAAAGGAAUUGACGGGGGCCCGCACAAGCGGUGGAGUAUGUGGUUUAAUUCGACGCAACGCGAAGAACCUUACCAGGUCUUGACAUUGAUGGACAGAACUAGAGAUAGUUCCUCUUCUUCGGAAGCCAGAAAACAGGUGGUGCACGGUUGUCGUCAGCUCGUGUCGUGAGAUGUUGGGUUAANNNNNNCAACGAGCGCAACCCCUAUCUUAUGUUGCCAGCACUUUGGGUGGGAACUCAUGAGAGACUACCGCAGACAAUGCGGAGGAAGGCGGGGAUGACGUCAAAUCAUCAUGCCCCUUAUGACCUGGGCUACACACGUACUACAAUGGGAGUUAAUAGACGGAAGCGAGAUCGCGAGAUGGAGCAAACCCGAGAAACACUCUCUCAGUUCGGAUCGUAGGCUGCAACUCGCCUACGUGAAGUCGGAAUCGCUAGUAAUCGCAGGUCAGCAUACUGCGGUGAAUACGUUCCCGGGCCU
This 790-nucleotide ribosomal RNA is filed under the name uncultured bacterium. Its description in RNAcentral is "bacterial SSU rRNA". It matches the Rfam family "Bacterial small subunit ribosomal RNA", at positions 592 to 1381 of the family's 1533-position model. The record is from RNAcentral.